GGCGAGUUUGCGAUUACUUCCUUUCGUCAUGUCGUCCGGAGGAGAUUCGAGCAUGGGUCACCAGAUCCUCUUCGGCGCUCUCUCCUUCUUCGUCGACGAUUCGGCGUGGCUUUGGGAUGCGCCCCUUGACGUCGAGGCGCUUCCCCGUCGCGGGGCUACGCACUUCCGUGCCGGCGCUCGCGGCGUCCUUCUUCUUCAACAGUCGACUCCGGUGUCGACCUGCACCGCUGCCACACGCCGCAGAAAGCAGUCUCGCCG
RNAcentral lists this long non-coding RNA (258 nucleotides) under Hordeum vulgare. Its description in RNAcentral is "long non-coding RNA (HVUL_LNC008527)". Lineage: Eukaryota; Viridiplantae; Streptophyta; Magnoliopsida; Poales; Poaceae. The record is from RNAcentral.